UACGAAGGGGGCUAGCGUUGUUCGGAAUUACUGGGCGUAAAGCGCACGUAGGCGGAUCGACAAGUUGGAGGUGAAAUCCCAGGGCUCAACCCUGGAACUGCCUUCAAAACUAUCAAUCUGGAGGACAGUAGAGGCGAGUGGAAUUCCGAGUGUAGAGGUGAAAUUCGUAGAUAUUCGGAGGAACACCAGUGGCGAAGGCGACUCGCUGGACUGUUACUGACGCUGAGGUGCGAAAGCGUGGGGAGCAAACAGG
This 253-nucleotide ribosomal RNA is filed under the name uncultured bacterium. Its description in RNAcentral is "partial 16S ribosomal RNA". It matches the Rfam family "Bacterial small subunit ribosomal RNA", at positions 524 to 776 of the family's 1533-position model. The record is from RNAcentral.